GUGAUCUCCACAGCGAUCCCUGCUCCUCCUGCUGGGAGUCAAAGCCUGCAGUGGAGGGAGGUCUUGCUAUCGCCGAGCUGGAGGUGUGUGCAGCUCCCAGACCCAGGCAGUCGGGACAAAAUGUCACGGCGAGCUAACAGGAAGAGUUUUAUAAGCUCACAAACCGACGCUGGGGCUGCUGCCAUUUGUUACAAAGACAGGGGAGAGGGAUGAAGGAGGGAGGAGAACGGAAAUGAAGAGUGGAGGGAGAAAGACAAGAGGAGGAGAGAACGGGAGAACGACAGCAGGCGAAGCAACGAAAACGGGAGGAAAUAAAAACAAAUCAACAACGAGAACAGCCGGCUGGUAUCUGGAGGGAGUUUGAUGGAUUCCUGAGGAGAGGCUGAGACUGGAUAUAAAUGACUGACCAUGUAGCACGUGAGUGUAUUGAGUAACCCUGCAUCCAAGCAGAAGAGCUCUGUAAGCCAUUUCCACUCAACUGUGGCUGGCGUGGAGUCGCCCUUCCAUCUCUGUCCACGCUACGCUGAGCGGUGGUCCGUCUCCCCCGUGACCUUCCCCGCCUCCCACAGUCGCUGCUCCCUUCACGCUGCUGCAAGUUUUUUUUUUGUUGUUUUUUUUAAAUAUUCUGGCUUCUUGCAGAAUCUGAGGGUGUAGUUACCCUUCAAUCAAGACUCUCCUGCUCUCCCACUCUUGUCUGUGGACUGUGGAAAAGACAUGACUGAGAGCAGCAGCGAGUGGAGGCGUGGGCCGAGAGCGAAGGGGUCUGCCACCAAGAUGGACGUCCAGCAAUUAACCGGUCACUGCAAAGACACCACAAAAUGUGGAUGGGCCACAAGUUUGGUGACAAACUGGUCAAAAAACGGUGGAAGUUGCUGUUAAGUGGUGAAGGAUUUCACAUUAAUGGAAUUUCCUUUGAUGUUUGACUUCACUGCGCUUUAGCUUUUAGCAUCUCAUUCAUUAUUUUACAUUUUACAGGUUGUAAAUCCAUCAAUGCAAAGUCGACUCUUGAUGGAAUUUUCCAGUUGUAUUGCAUCGUGUAACUGUUACAGCAUUUUUUUGCUUCAAUAAUCUUCAGUAGCCUGUUUCAGGACUUGUGAGUUCUUACCUGUUCUACAUUAGAUUCAAUUUCAUUUAAUUGCACAAGUACAACUAUUAAGACAAACUUUUUUCUUGUAAUAUACUCCCUUCUUUACUUUUUAUAGUAUUAUUUGGCCAUAGUAGUUUCAUUCCAGUUUGUUGCACCUUUGCUGCUUCCGAUACUCAACUUUCAGUCACUUUAUAAUUGAAUUACAAAAAUUAAAAUGUUCCUCUUC
Molecule: long non-coding RNA, 1313 nt
Organism: Amphiprion ocellaris (clown anemonefish)
Lineage: Eukaryota; Metazoa; Chordata; Actinopteri; Pomacentridae
Exons: 3
Source: RefSeq, a predicted model, not a curated record